RNAcentral lists this ribosomal RNA (465 nucleotides) under Vreelandella stevensii. RNAcentral describes it as "partial 16S ribosomal RNA". It matches the Rfam family "Bacterial small subunit ribosomal RNA", at positions 338 to 795 of the family's 1533-position model. The record is from RNAcentral. Lineage: Bacteria; Pseudomonadati; Pseudomonadota; Gammaproteobacteria; Oceanospirillales; Halomonadaceae.
CCUACGGGGGGCAGCAGUGGGGAAUAUUGGACAAUGGGGGGAACCCUGAUCCAGUCAUGCCGCGUGUGUGAAGAAGGCCCUCGGGUUGUAAAGCACUUUCAGUGAGGAAGAACGCCUGGUGGUUAAUACCCAUCAGGAAAGACAUCACUCACAGAAGAAGCACCGGCUAACUCCGUGCCAGCAGCCGCGGUAAUACGGAGGGUGCGAGCGUUAAUCGGAAUUACUGGGCGUAAAGCGCGCGUAGGUGGCUUGAUAAGCCGGUUGUGAAAGCCCCGGGCUCAACCUGGGAACGGCAUCCGGAACUGUCAAGCUAGAGUGCAGGAGAGGAAGGUAGAAUUCCCGGUGUAGCGGUGAAAUGCGUAGAGAUCGGGAGGAAGACCAGUGGCGAAGGCGGCCUUCUGGACUGACACUGACACUGAGGUGCGAAAGCGUGGGUAGCAAACAGGAUUAGAUACCCCUGUAGUC